Molecule: ribosomal RNA, 483 nt
Filed under: uncultured bacterium
Lineage: Bacteria
Description: partial 16S ribosomal RNA
Rfam family: Bacterial small subunit ribosomal RNA
Source: RNAcentral
AUUGAACGCUGGCGGCAUGCCUUACACAUGCAAGUCGAACGGCAGCGCGGGAGCAAUCCUGGCGGCGAGUGGCGAACGGGUGAGUAAUACAUCGGAACGUGCCCAAUCGUGGGGGAUAACGCAGCGAAAGCUGUGCUAAUACCGCAUACGAUCUACGGAUGAAAGCAGGGGAUCGCAAGACCUUGCGCGAAUGGAGCGGCCGAUGGCAGAUUAGGUAGUUGGUGAGGUAAAGGCUCACCAAGCCUUCGAUCUGUAGCUGGUCUGAGAGGACGACCAGCCACACUGGGACUGAGACACGGCCCAGACUCCUACGGGAGGCAGCAGUGGGGAAUUUUGGACAAUGGGCGAAAGCCUGAUCCAGCCAUGCCGCGUGCAGGAUGAAGGCCUUCGGGUUGUAAACUGCUUUUGUACGGAACGAAACGGUCUUUUCUAAGAAAGAAGGCUAAUGACGGUACCGUAAGAAUAAGCACCGGCUAACUACGU